GUUAAAGGCAUCUUUUUAUAAUAAUAAAAAUAUUAUUUUAUAUUAUUAUAUUGUUUUGCAAUAUUAUCAAUUAUAUAUUAUUUUGGAAUAUAAAUAUAUUACCGAAUUUGUUAUAUCAGAGUUGUUUUUACAAAACCCAGAUAUAAUAUUCAUAAAAAAUGCUAAUUACAAAACAAAGUUAUACGAGUUAUAUAUGUAUAUAAAAUAUUUAUAUUUAAAAGAUCUAGUUAACCAUAUUAGUAUUCUUCUUAAUUUUAUAAUUUUUAUUUAUUAUAAAUAUUUUGAAUACCAUUACAAAGGGAGUGAUGAACAUUUCUGGAAUUUUAUACAUUUUUUUUUAUCUAUACAUGAGGAGUCUUACUAUCACAGUUUGUUGAUAACAGAGUACAAAAAAAGCAAAAUUGUAAAAAAGGGUGUGUUUCGUACAACAAAUAAUGGUUUUUUAGAUUCUCCAAACGUGGGUGGUCAGGUUGAAAAAGCGAGUGAGGACCAUGUUAAUAUAACAAAUGUGAACUAUAAUGACAUAACGAGUGGGAAUUAUAAUGACCUAAGUGUAGGAGGUGACAAUAGGAAGCACACAGCCAGAUUCAGACCCGGACCUGGACCUGGACCUGGACCUGGACCUAAACACAAACCCAGACCCAAUCGAAACGAAGUAGUCAACAUAAUUCCAACGGAUGAUAUUAGCAAAAAUGAUGCUUCAUCAAGAAGUAAACAAAUGACAACACAAGGCAAUAUGAGAAGUAAAGUUGACAAAAUUAAUUAUUAUGCUUUGGUUUUAGCUAACUCACUAUAUAAAUAUACACACAUGAUUUUUUAUAAAAUUGUAAAUACUUUUAUAAAAGCCAAAAUUAAUAUUUUGAAUUCGAAAAACUUACGUAAUAAUUUAGUUUAUGAUAUCUAUUCUCAUUUGAAGCAUACAUUUAUAAAUACAAUAAAAAAAAAUAAUAAAAAUUAUAUUAAUGCGUUAAAUUAUAAAUACUCUUUUUAUGAUUUUGAAGAAAUGAAAACCAAUUUGAAAUUAUGUAUAUAUUUAAAAAAUGUCUAUUUAAAAAAUGACUUAUUCAGCAUAAAUAUGUUAAAAAUUUUAAAUAUAGAGAAUAUUAAAAAAGUGAAAAAGGGUGAGAGAGGCAGUAAUGGUGUUAAUAGAGUCAGAAACAGUAGUGACUGUAGUAACGUUCAAGUGAAUACAUCAGAAAAUUGUUUAAUAAAAAAGAAGGCAGUUGAUGAUGGUAAAAGUAGUGACAAAAGAUAUAUCCGAGGAAAUAAUGGAAGUAGUAACAGUAGUAGUAUUAGUAACAAUGGUAGUAUUAGUAUUAGUAGUAGUAGUAGUAGUAGUAGUACUAGCAGUAGUAGCAGCAUUAAUGUAGUAUGUGGUAAAAAAGAAGUCAGGAUCAAUGAUGAAGCACACUUAGAUAUACCAACCAAAGAUUUAAAACAAAAUAAUAUAAAUGAAUUGUUAAAUAGUCAUAAGAAACAUAUUAAAAAAGUACCAUCAAAUACAAAAGACAAAACAAAUAAAUUAAUGAAUGAUUUUUUUGAAAUGAAAAAAAAAAAAAAAAUUUCUAUAAAAUAUUUUAAUAAUGUUUUAACAUAUUUUUUAAAAAAUAAACUGUAUGAUUAUAAAAUAAGUGUUUUGGAUUAUUAUAAAUCUGAAGAAAAAUUGGUUGAUACUGUAUUUUUAUUUUUGGGCAAACUGUUCGAUUUUUUUUUUAAUUCGCUUUUAUCUUUUCGAGACAGUGAACAUUUUUAUAAAGGUGGUAGUAAUUCAAAUCGUACUUGUAUGAAGCAAGCUGGUGUAAGUCAAUCUGGUGUAAGUCAAGCUGGUGUAAGUCAAACUGGUGUAAGUCAAGCUGGUGUAAGUCAAUCUGGUGUAAGCCAAACUGAUGUAAGUCAAUCUGGUGUAAACCAAACUGGUGUAAGCCAAACUGGUACAAGCCAAACUGGUACAAGCCAAACUGGUACAAGCCAAACUGGUACAAGUUCAAAAAACAUGAAUAACACAAGAUUUUUAACUCCUUUUACCAAUAAGAACUAUCGUAAACGCAAUAAGAAGUAUUAUUUGUAUGAACAACUCAUGAUGUAUUUUAUAAUUUUUGCAAUGUGUCAUUAUGCUGAUAGUUUAGUAUUUGUUAUUAUAAGCCUUUUAAAUAUGAAAGAAGUGACUGCAGACUAUGUAAGAAACGUGGCUCCAAGUGGGGCUAUAAAUGAGGCUAAUGGGAAUAGUUUGGCGGAACAGAAAAAGCAACAGCAUAAUAAUACUAAUUCACAACAGCAUAAUAGUAGUAAUAAUAAUAAUGAUAGCCUACAAGAACAAGAGCCAGAUGCAAUGUUCAUAAAUAAUGUAAAACCAUACAACCAAUUGGAAUCACAAGAUUUGAUUCCUAACGGAAUAGAAAAGUGUAUAGAUUAUACAGUGUCAGCAUCAGCAUCAGCAUCAGCAUCAGCAUCAGUAAAAAAUAAAGACUUACGAAAAGAUUUUUAUUUACAGUCUAGUUUUUUAAGCACAAAUAAUUAUUAUAUUUUUCAAAAAAAAGCAUUUUACAUAACUAAUAGUAACAAAGAAUGUUGUAAAUUACUUAUCCCUAUGUAUAAAUUGUUAUUGACUAGAUUAAAAGUAUGCUUAUAUUAUCCAAGAUUUUUUUUUCUUGCAUUUUUAUUUAAUUAUUCAAAUUAUAACUUUGCCGAAUCUGAUAAUAUAUUAAAUUAUUUAAAAGAUAAUAACUGCUUAAGUAAAGUUAUUAAAUAUUCUGUUGAUGACUUUAGCGUUGAUAAAAUUAAUUCGCCAACAAAGGGGGGUAAAGAAAAAAUAAACAGUCUUACUUAUAUUGAAGAGAAUAUACCACUUGUAGA
RNAcentral lists this long non-coding RNA (2853 nucleotides) under Piliocolobus tephrosceles (Ugandan red Colobus). RNAcentral's name for it is "lncRNA (ENSPTEG00000004870.1)". The record is from RNAcentral. Lineage: Eukaryota; Metazoa; Chordata; Mammalia; Primates; Cercopithecidae.